AUUGAACGCUGGCGGCAGGCCUAACACAUGCAAGUCGAACGGUAACAGGGAGAAGCUUGCUUCUUUGCUGACGAGUGGGGGACGGGUGGGUAAUGUCUUGGAAACUGCCUGAUGGAGGGGGUUAACUACUGGAAACGGUUGCUAAUACCGCAUAACGUCCCAAGACGAAAGAGGUUGACCUUCGUGCCUCUUGCCAUCGGAUAUGCCCAGAUGGGAUUAGCUAGUAGGUGGGGUAACGGCCCACCUAGGCGACGAUCCCUAGCUGGUCUGAGAGGAUGACCAGCCACACUGGAACUGAGACACGGUACAGACUCCUAAGGGAGGCAGCAGUGGGGAAUAUUGCACAAUGGGCGAAAGCCUGAUGCAGCCAUGCCGCGUGUAUGAAGAAGGCCUUCGGGUUGUAAAGUACUUUAAGCGGGGAGGAAGGGAGGAAAGUUAAUACCUUUCCUCAUUGACGUUACCAGCAGAAGAAGCACCGGCUAACUCCGUG
RNAcentral lists this ribosomal RNA (490 nucleotides) under uncultured bacterium. RNAcentral's name for it is "partial 16S ribosomal RNA". It matches the Rfam family "Bacterial small subunit ribosomal RNA", at positions 30 to 507 of the family's 1533-position model. The record is from RNAcentral.